RNAcentral lists this ribosomal RNA (397 nucleotides) under uncultured bacterium. Its description in RNAcentral is "bacterial SSU rRNA". It matches the Rfam family "Bacterial small subunit ribosomal RNA", at positions 362 to 776 of the family's 1533-position model. The record is from RNAcentral.
UAUUGCACAAUGGGGGAAACCCUGAUGCAGCGACGCCGCGUGAGUGAAGAAGUAUUUCGGUAUGUAAAGCUCUAUCAGCAGGGAAGAAGAUGACAGUACCUGAGUAAGAAGCCCCGGCUAACUACGUCCCAGCAGCCGCGGUAAUACGUAGGGGGCAAGCGUUAUCCGGAUUUACUGGGUGUAAAGGGAGCGUAGACGGUUGUAUAAGUCUGGAGUGAAAGCCCGGGGCCCAACCCCGGGACUGCUUUGGAAACUGUGUAACUUGAGUACAGGAGGGGCAGGCGGAAUUCCUGGUGUAGCGGUGAAAUGCGUAGAUAUCAGGAGGAACACCGGCGGCGAAGGCGGCCUGCUGGACUGAAACUGACGUUGAGGCUCGAAAGCGUGGGGAGCAAACAGG